Paramuricea clavata is the source of this 233-nucleotide non-coding RNA. The record is from the annotation of a GenBank genome assembly. NCBI's taxonomy places the organism in Eukaryota, Metazoa, Cnidaria, Anthozoa, Malacalcyonacea, Plexauridae.
CCAGGCCAGACACUUGAAAGCAAUAUUUAUAACUAUGGAGUGAGUUGUUUGAAGUUUUUCUUUUUUAGUGCACAAUUUAUCGACUUUUAUGAAAUACCAUGAGGAGAAGACAAAACAAAGAAGAUAAAACUGACCAGGACGGGAAUAUUGAGGUAAAGUUGUAAUCGUAAUCUAUUCUCUGUACCUCAGAGUUGGAGAAUCUUUGAUUCUUUGUCAAAAGUACUUUGUUGUUG